AAACUCUGUUGUUAGGGAAGAACAAGUAUCGGAGUAACUGCCGGUACCUUGACGGUACCUGACCAGAAAGCCACGGCUAACUACGUGCCAGCAGCCGCGGUAAUACGUAGGUGGCAAGCGUUGUCCGGAAUUAUUGGGCGUAAAGCGCGCGCAGGCGGCCUUUUAAGUCUGAUGUGAAAGCCCCCGGCUCAACCGGGGAGGGUCAUUGGAAACUGGAAGGCUUGAGUGCAGAAGAGAAGAGCGGAAUUCCACGUGUAGCGGUGAAAUGCGUAGAGAUGUGGAGGAACACCAGUGGCGAAGGCGGCUCUUUGGUCUGUAACUGACGCUGAGGCGCGAAAGCGUGGGGAGCGAACAGGAUUAGAUACCCUGGUAGUCCACGCCGUAAACGAUGAGUGCUAAGUGUUGGGGGGUUUCCGCCCCUCAGUGCUGCAGCUAACGCAUUAAGCACUCCGCCUGGGGAGUACGGCCGCAAGGCUGAAACUCAAAGGAAUUGACGGGGGCCCGCACAAGCGGUGGAGCAUGUGGUUUAAUUCGAAGCAACGCGAAGAACCUUACCAGGUCUUGACAUCCCGCUGACCGUCCUGGAGACAGGAUUUUCCCUUCGGGGACAGCGGUGACAGGUGGUGCAUGGUUGUCGUCAGCUCGUGUCGUGAGAUGUUGGGUUAAGUCCCGCAACGAGCGCAACCCUUGAUCUUAGUUGCCAGCAUUCAGUUGGGCACUCUAAGGUGACUGCCGGUGACAAACCGGAGGAAGGUGGGGAUGACGUCAAAUCAUCAUGCCCCUUAUGACCUGGGCUACACACGUGCUACAAUGGAUGGUACAAAGGGCUGCAAGACCGCGAGGUUUAGCCAAUCCCAUAAAACCAUUCUC
This 870-nucleotide ribosomal RNA is filed under the name Bacillaceae bacterium. RNAcentral describes it as "bacterial SSU rRNA". It matches the Rfam family "Bacterial small subunit ribosomal RNA", at positions 428 to 1289 of the family's 1533-position model. The record is from RNAcentral. Lineage: Bacteria; Bacillati; Bacillota; Bacilli; Caryophanales; Bacillaceae.